Molecule: ribosomal RNA, 253 nt
Filed under: uncultured bacterium
Lineage: Bacteria
Description: partial 16S ribosomal RNA
Rfam family: Bacterial small subunit ribosomal RNA
Source: RNAcentral
CACGUAGGGCGCGAGCGUUGUCCGGAAUUAUUGGGCGUAAAGAGCUCGUAGGCGGCCUGUUGCGUCCGCUGUGAAAGCCCGGGGCUUAACCCCGGGUCGGCGGUGGAUACGGGCAGGCUAGAGGUAGGUAGGGGAGAAUGGAAUUCCCGGUGUAGCGGUGAAAUGCGCAGAUAUCAGGAGGAACACCGGUGGCGAAGGCGGGUCUCUGGGCCGAUACUGACGCUGAGGAGCGAAAGCGUGGGGAGCGAACAGG